GGAGGAAAGCAGGGGAUCGCAAGACCUUGCGCUCAUUGAGCGGCCGAUGCCUGAUUAGCUAGUUGGUGAGGUAAAGGCUUACCAAGGCGACGAUCAGUAGCUGGUCUGAGAGGACGACCAGCCACACUGGGACUGAGACACGGCCCAGACUCCUACGGGAGGCAGCAGUGGGGAAUUUUGGACAAUGGGGGAAACCCUGAUCCAGCCAUGCCGCGUGAGUGAAGAAGGCCUUCGGGUUGUAAAGCUCUUUCAGCCGGAACGAAACAGUCACGGAUAAUACCCGUGACUACUGACGGUACCGGAAGAAGAAGCACCGGCUAACUACGUGCCAGCAGCCGCGGGAAUACGUAGGGUGCGAGCGUUAAUCGGAAUUACUGGGCGUAAAGCGUGCGCAGGCGGUUUUGUAAG
RNAcentral lists this ribosomal RNA (408 nucleotides) under uncultured beta proteobacterium. RNAcentral describes it as "bacterial SSU rRNA". It matches the Rfam family "Bacterial small subunit ribosomal RNA", at positions 198 to 587 of the family's 1533-position model. Lineage: Bacteria; Pseudomonadati; Pseudomonadota; Betaproteobacteria. The record is from RNAcentral.